GCGCCGCGGCCUCUCUAGGAGCCGCUGGAGGGGCCCGGCCACGGGGUGGGUGAGGACCGGACGCCCCGGAGCCCGCGGGGCUACCGGGGCAGUGUGUGUGCCUAUGUUCUAGGUCUCCGUCCCUCCAGAGGCCCGUCUGUCCAUCUCCCGGGCCCCGCGUCGUCGGUGCGUGUGGCCAAGGGCGAGGCGACAAGCGAGACCAAGGUCAGCGAGAAGGAGCGACGCUUCCCGGCGCCAGCGGGGGCGGUGUCUCGCUCCCUCCCCUCCCGGGCCUCCGGGUCAGCUCCGGCAGCGCCUCGGGAACCGGGACGGACUCCCCUUGGCCUCGCCGAGGUCCUUGAGCCUGGGACCCCCUCCAGGAACUCCGCUCCCCGGCACCUGCGCGCGCCCGCUCCCGUUCCUCCGGCCCCCACCCAGCUCGGCUCCCCUGAUCCUCCUCCUCCCUCCUCCCUCCUCGAGGGCUAGGAUAGUUGCCAAGGAGACAGCCCCGCCCCGGCUCCCAGAGGCACAGCUUCUCCGCCCCAGGAAGCCCGGCGGUUGGCCGAUGGGGCUCGUGCUCUAGCCGCCCCGCCUCCUCCAACCCCGCGGACGGCUGGGCGUUAAUGGUCGCCAGGGAACGCCAGGCGCCUUCCUGAUUGGCCGGGAGUGCUGUGGUCGGGUCCGCCUCCCCUGUCGGCCAGAAGCGCCUUCAGGAGGUAGUGGGAGGGAGGUGCCAGGCAUCUCCCCUCCAGCCCGGCCUGUGCCAUCAAAACUUUUCCCGCCCCCACUUAGCCUCCAUUAUGUUUUAUGAAAGCCAGAAGAUCUGAGGACAGACACCCUUCCUCCUCGUCAGCCUCACACCCCUUGCCUCUCCCCUCCACCUUCCCCAGCGCCUGAGUUUAACUCAAUCCCUGGCAGCCUUAGUCCCUGUUGUUAGAUUUCCUCACAGGGAGGCAGGAUUCCUUCCAGGUGAGGGUGAUACAAAGGAGAAUUGGACUGAGAGAACCAUCUGGCCUUCGAGGCAUCUAACAACUCUCCAGUCUUGUCUGACUCGAAUGGAGUCUUGCAGAGGAAGGGAACCUGAGAAACACUGCCUCGGGCGCAGCUUUGAAUUGAGGAAGUGAGCCUGGACAGACAACUUAAUAUCAUCCAGUUCUUGUCUUUUUUUUCUACGCUUCGUGCUGAAACAAGUUUGGCAGCGUUCUUGACAGUUAACGAGCCCGAUGCCCCUGUGUGAGCAGGAGCCAUGGAUCGUGUUUUCUUGUCGCCUACCCAGACAAAUGAAGGGAAGAGAAUGUUUGGGAGGAAGGAUGGCCUCUCCUUCCUGAAAAGAGGUGAGAACAAGAACUUGAAGAAUGCCAAGUGGUAAAAAGUGGAGAGAAACUAUCUAAAUAAAGGCUUACAGGUGGGGCGCACUGGCUCAUGUCUGCUCCCAAAAUGCUGGGAUUACAGGUGUGAGCCACCACGCCCGGCCGAGAAUAGCUACAUUUUUAAAAGAUACUUAGCCUGGCCCUACCUCUAGGUGGAAAUAUCUGUGCCACCAACUGAGGAGCUGAGAAUGGGGUGGGGCUAAGGCUUAAGGGUUUCACGACACUAAAAAAAAUUGACGAAAUGCUGGAAGGUUGGGUCAUGAGGGCAGGAAGCAGAGGAGUUGGAGCCUGGUUUCUGGGCCAUAAGUAAACUUUACAAACUUCAAAGCUCUCAGAGACCUCUAGGUAAUAAUCACGGCAUCUUUAAUUGGCAAACUCAGGGCCAAGAUCUAUCUGGCUGUCAGUCUGGGCUGAGAACUGGUGUUGCAAGCUGGGCUUUCCCCAGGCUGUGUUGAGGGUUAGGGGAGGGGACUGAGAUGUACACUGGAAAUUAAAACCUGGUACAAAGGUAUCUCCUACUGCCAAGGUUCCUCUUCUCACCCCAUGUGCCCCUGUGAUAAAGUGACACACGAGUCAACCCGCCCCAGAAAAGCUGAGGGAGAGAGAGACCACGGUGGGAUUGGAUUGGAGAUG
RNAcentral lists this long non-coding RNA (1982 nucleotides) under Homo sapiens (human). RNAcentral's name for it is "long non-coding RNA NONHSAT172859.1". The record is from RNAcentral. Lineage: Eukaryota; Metazoa; Chordata; Mammalia; Primates; Hominidae.